GCUAAGAAAUCCAUCUAUUGUGGCAGGAGCUACCAACAAGCCAGAAUCCACAGAAGAAAAAGAAGACCAAGCAAUCUCACCAGUAGGCCUAGAGAAAUCCCUGGCCAAACUAUUCCGAAGUAAGCUCUGGAUCGCCGUGCUCUCGCUCUUUCUCACGGCCUUCAUAGCCGGCUACCUUUACUUCUUUAUCACGGGGAAUGGAGCUGACGAAGUUCCCAUCAUGAAGUACCAGUACUACCAGUACACCA
This 248-nucleotide long non-coding RNA is filed under the name Selaginella moellendorffii. RNAcentral's name for it is "long non-coding RNA (SMOE_LNC000200)". Lineage: Eukaryota; Viridiplantae; Streptophyta; Lycopodiopsida; Selaginellales; Selaginellaceae. The record is from RNAcentral.